UACGUAGGGUGCAAGCGUUAAUCGGAAUUACUGGGCGUAAAGCGCGCGUAGGUGGUUCAGUAAGUUGGAAGUGAAAUCCCCGGGCUCAACCUGGGAACUGCUUUCAAAACUGCUGAGCUAGAGUAUGGCAGAGGGUGGUGGAAUUUCCUGUGUAGCGGUGAAAUGCGUAGAUAUAGGAAGGAACACCAGUGGCGAAGGCGACCACCUGGGCUAAUACUGACACUGAGGUGCGAAAGCGUGGGGAGCAAACAGG
This 253-nucleotide ribosomal RNA is filed under the name uncultured Pseudomonadaceae bacterium. RNAcentral's name for it is "partial 16S ribosomal RNA". It matches the Rfam family "Bacterial small subunit ribosomal RNA", at positions 524 to 776 of the family's 1533-position model. Lineage: Bacteria; Pseudomonadati; Pseudomonadota; Gammaproteobacteria; Pseudomonadales; Pseudomonadaceae. The record is from RNAcentral.